RNAcentral lists this ribosomal RNA (243 nucleotides) under uncultured bacterium. Its description in RNAcentral is "partial 16S ribosomal RNA". It matches the Rfam family "Bacterial small subunit ribosomal RNA", at positions 28 to 269 of the family's 1533-position model. The record is from RNAcentral.
GACGAACGCUGGCGGCGUGCUUAACACAUGCAAGUCGAGCGGUAAGGCCCUUUCGGGGGUACGACGAGCGGCGAACGGGUGAGUAACACGUGGGUGACCUGCCCUCCAGCUCUGGGAUAAGCCUGGGAAACCGGGUCUAAUACUGGAUAUGACUCCAUGACGCAUGUUGUGGGGUGGAAAGCCUUGUGCGGCUGAGGAUGGGCCCGGCGGCCUAUCAGCUUGUUGGUGGGGGGAUGGCCUACC